CAGGGUAANCCUGARAACCCDAAAUGUCGAAUGGGAAAUUUCAUUCGCGUUUMGACUUUGUCGGCGUURAGCGGUUGAGUGACGRACGGCGCGCAUUCGCGCGUCUUUCGCACCUUCCGUUUUUCRAACCGGCGUCGAACGCGUGCACUUUUCCCCUAGUAGGACGUCGCGAUCCGUUGGGUGUCGGUCUAAGACUUGCGGUGGAGCACGCUCGAACGUUUCGGCGUUCGUACGUACCCGUAAUGUUCCGGCCGACUCGCUCGACGGUAUAACGAUGGCGUGGGGCCGCUACUUACAUCAUUAGUUAGCGUUCGACUCUCGGCAAGCGCGCUCGGUGUUUCGACGGCGAUCGGACCUAGUKCCGAUUCUGUCCCCGAGCGACUGUUGGCUGAGGUGUUCUCGAACAGACCUCUUUGAAACGSCGAUCUGCGACGACUAUAGC
Molecule: ribosomal RNA, 442 nt
Filed under: Metaxyonycha sp. JJG132
Lineage: Eukaryota; Metazoa; Arthropoda; Insecta; Coleoptera; Chrysomelidae
Description: partial 28S ribosomal RNA
Source: RNAcentral